RNAcentral lists this ribosomal RNA (429 nucleotides) under Gemmatimonadota bacterium. RNAcentral describes it as "Gemmatimonadetes bacterium partial 16S ribosomal RNA". It matches the Rfam family "Bacterial small subunit ribosomal RNA", at positions 355 to 776 of the family's 1533-position model. Lineage: Bacteria; Pseudomonadati; Gemmatimonadota. The record is from RNAcentral.
UAGGGAAUCUUCGGCAAUGGACGAAAGUCUGACCGAGCAACGCCGCGUGAGUGAAGAAGGUUUUCGGAUCGUAAAACUCUGUUGUUAGAGAAGAACAAGGACGUUAGUAACUGAACGUCCCCUGACGGUAUCUAACCAGAAAGCCACGGCUAACUACGUGCCAGCAGCCGCGGUAAUACGUAGGUGGCAAGCGUUGUCCGGAUUUAUUGGGCGUAAAGCGAGCGCAGGCGGUUUCUUAAGUCUGAUGUGAAAGCCCCCGGCGCAACCGGGGAGGGUCAUUGGAAACUGGGAGACUUGAGUGCAGAAGAGGGGAGUGGAAUUCCAUGUGUAGCGGUGAAAUGCGUAGAUAUAUGGAGGAACACCAGUGGCGAAGGCGGCUCUCUGGUCUGUAACUGACGCUGAGGCUCGAAAGCGUGGGGAGCAAACAGG